This 506-nucleotide ribosomal RNA is filed under the name uncultured bacterium. RNAcentral's name for it is "partial 16S ribosomal RNA". It matches the Rfam family "Bacterial small subunit ribosomal RNA", at positions 899 to 1397 of the family's 1533-position model. The record is from RNAcentral.
ACUCAAAUGAAUUGACGGGAACCUGCACAAACGGAGGAUUAUGGGGAUUAAUUCGAUGCCACGCGAAGAACCUUACCAGGGAUUGACAUGUCCAGAAUUUGCUAGAAAUGGAAAAGUGCCACACUCAUUUAAGGAGUGUGGAGCUGGAACACAGGUGGUGCAUGGCUGUCGUCAGCUCGUGCGUUGACGUGUAUGGUUCAGUCCUGCAACGAGCGCAACCCUCGUCCUUAGUUACCCUCUGGGUUCUUUAAGGAGACUGCGCGCGCAAGCGCUGAGGAAGGUGAGGAUGACGUCAAGUCAGCAUGCCCCUUAUACCCUGGGCUUCACCCGUAAUACAAUGGUUGGGACAAUCAGAUGCUACCCCGCGAGGGCACGCAAAUCUGUUAAACUCAACCCCAGUUCGGAUUGUAGGCUGCAACUCGCCUACAUGAAGCCGGAUUCGUUAGUAAUCGCCGAUCAGCCAAGCGGCGGUGAAUACGUUCCCAGGUUUUGUACACACCGCCCGU